AGGAAAGCAGGGGAUCGCAAGACCUUGCGCUCUUGGAGCGGCCGAUGUCUGAUUAGCUAGUUGGUGAGGUAAAGGCUUACCAAGGCGACGAUCAGUAGCUGGUCUGAGAGGACGACCAGCCACACUGGGACUGAGACACGGCCCAGACUCCUACGGGAGGCAGCAGUGGGGAAUUUUGGACAAUGGGGGAAACCCUGAUCCAGCCAUGCCGCGUGAGUGAAGAAGGCCUUCGGGUUGUAAAGCUCUUUCAGCCGGAACGGAACGGUCACGGCUAAUACCUGUGAUCACUGACGGUACCGGAAGAAGAAGCACCGGCUAACUACGUGCCAGCAGCCGCGGUAAUACGUAGGGUGCAAGCGUUAAUCGGAAUUACUGGGCGUAAAGCGUGCGCGGGCGGUUUUGUAAGUCAGAUGUGAAAUCCCCGGGCUUAACCUGGGAACUGCGUUUGAAACUACAAAGCU
Molecule: ribosomal RNA, 461 nt
Filed under: uncultured beta proteobacterium
Lineage: Bacteria; Pseudomonadati; Pseudomonadota; Betaproteobacteria
Description: bacterial SSU rRNA
Rfam family: Bacterial small subunit ribosomal RNA
Source: RNAcentral